RNAcentral lists this transfer RNA (87 nucleotides) under Candidatus Saccharimonadota bacterium. RNAcentral's name for it is "tRNA-Leu". It matches the Rfam family "tRNA". Rfam says of the family: Transfer RNA (tRNA) molecules are approximately 80 nucleotides in length. Their secondary structure includes four short double-helical elements and three loops (D, anti-codon, and T loops). Further hydrogen bonds mediate the characteristic L-shaped molecular structure. tRNAs have two regions of fundamental functional importance: the anti-codon, which is responsible for specific mRNA codon recognition, and the 3' end, to which the tRNAs corresponding amino acid is attached (by aminoacyl-tRNA synthetases). tRNAs cope with the degeneracy of the genetic code in two manners: having more than one tRNA (with a specific anti-codon) for a particular amino acid; and 'wobble' base-pairing, i.e. permitting non-standard base-pairing at the 3rd anti-codon position. The record is from RNAcentral. Lineage: Bacteria; Candidatus Saccharimonadota.
CCCCGAGUGGCGGAAUUGGUAGACGCGCUAGCUUCAGGUGCUAGUCUAAGCAAUUAGGUACAGGUUCAAGUCCUGCCUCGGGGACCA